This 253-nucleotide ribosomal RNA is filed under the name uncultured bacterium. RNAcentral describes it as "partial 16S ribosomal RNA". It matches the Rfam family "Bacterial small subunit ribosomal RNA", at positions 524 to 776 of the family's 1533-position model. The record is from RNAcentral.
GACAGAGGGUGCAACCGUUGCUCGGAAUUACUGGGCGUAAAGCGCGUGUAGGCGGGGAGAUAAGUCGGGUGUGAAAUCCCUGGGCUCAACCUAGGAACUGCAUUCGAAACUGUCUUUCUGGAGUGAUGGAGAGGAAAGCGGAAUUCCCGGUGUAGAGGUGAAAUUCGUAGAUAUCGGGAGGAACACCAGUGGCGAAGGCGGCUUUCUGGCCAUCAACUGACGCUGAGACGCGAAAGCGUGGGGAGCAAACAGG